Molecule: non-coding RNA, 135 nt
Organism: Caenorhabditis elegans
Lineage: Eukaryota; Metazoa; Nematoda; Chromadorea; Rhabditida; Rhabditidae
Source: Ensembl
AUGUGUUUGCCAAAGCAACAAUAUGCUAACAGGCAAGACGAAUCAGAUACGUGGCAGGUGAUCGAUGAGGAAAGAAGAACAAACACUUGAGUUGAUCUCUAGUACUAUCAAAUUUGGUAACGAUAGAACAGAGAG